AGCGGCGGACGGGUGAGUAACACGUAGGCAACCUGCCCUCAAGUUUGGGACAACUACCGGAAACGGUAGCUAAUACCGAAUAAUUGUUUUCUUCGCCUGAAGGAAACUGGAAAGACGGAGCAAUCUGUCACUUGGGGAUGGGCCUGCGGCGCAUUAGCUAGUUGGUGAGGUAACGGCUCACCAAGGCGACGAUGCGUAGCCGACCUGAGAGGGUGAUCGGCCACACUGGGACUGAGACACGGCCCAGACUCCUACGGGAGGCAGCAGUAGGGAAUCUUCCGCAAUGGGCGAAAGCCUGACGGAGCAAUGCCGCGUGAGUGAUGAAGGUUUUCGGAUCGUAAAGCUCUGUUGCCAGGGAAGAACGCUUGGGAGAGUAACUGCUCUCAAGGUGACGGUACCUGAGAAGAAAGCCCCGGCUAACUACGUGCCAGCAGCCGCGGUAAUACGUAGGGGGCAAGCGUUGUCCGGAAUUAUUGGGCGUAAAGCGCGCGCAGGCGGUCAUUUAAGUCUGGUGUUUAAUCCCGGGGCUCAACCCCGGAUCGCACUGGAAACUGGGUGACUUGAGUGCAGAAGAGGAGAGUGGAAUUCCACGUGUAGCGGUGAAAUGCGUAGAUAUGUGGAGGAACACCAGUGGCGAAGGCGACUCUCUGGGCUGUAACUGACGCUGAGGCGCGAAAGCGUGGGGAGCAAACA
This 693-nucleotide ribosomal RNA is filed under the name Paenibacillus sp. PE-R2A-77. Its description in RNAcentral is "bacterial SSU rRNA". It matches the Rfam family "Bacterial small subunit ribosomal RNA", at positions 94 to 774 of the family's 1533-position model. The record is from RNAcentral. Lineage: Bacteria; Bacillati; Bacillota; Bacilli; Caryophanales; Paenibacillaceae.